This 1396-nucleotide ribosomal RNA is filed under the name Lactiplantibacillus pentosus. RNAcentral's name for it is "bacterial SSU rRNA". It matches the Rfam family "Bacterial small subunit ribosomal RNA", at positions 65 to 1431 of the family's 1533-position model. The record is from RNAcentral. Lineage: Bacteria; Bacillati; Bacillota; Bacilli; Lactobacillales; Lactobacillaceae.
AACUCUGGUAUUGAUUGGUGCUUGCAUCAUGAUUUACAUUUGAGUGAGUGGCGAACUGGUGAGUAACACGUGGGAAACCUGCCCAGAAGCGGGGGAUAACACCUGGAAACAGAUGCUAAUACCGCAUAACAACUUGGACCGCAUGGUCCGAGUUUGAAAGAUGGCUUCGGCUAUCACUUUUGGAUGGUCCCGCGGCGUAUUAGCUAGAUGGUGGGGUAACGGCUCACCAUGGCAAUGAUACGUAGCCGACCUGAGAGGGUAAUCGGCCACAUUGGGACUGAGACACGGCCCAAACUCCUACGGGAGGCAGCAGUAGGGAAUCUUCCACAAUGGACGAAAGUCUGAUGGAGCAACGCCGCGUGAGUGAAGAAGGGUUUCGGCUCGUAAAACUCUGUUGUUAAAGAAGAACAUAUCUGAGAGUAACUGUUCAGGUAUUGACGGUAUUUAACCAGAAAGCCACGGCUAACUACGUGCCAGCAGCCGCGGUAAUACGUAGGUGGCAAGCGUUGUCCGGAUUUAUUGGGCGUAAAGCGAGCGCAGGCGGUUUUUUAAGUCUGAUGUGAAAGCCUUCGGCUCAACCGAAGAAGUGCAUCGGAAACUGGGAAACUUGAGUGCAGAAGAGGACAGUGGACCUCCAUGUGUAGCGGUGAAAUGCGUAGAUAUAUGGAAGAACACCAGUGGCGAAGGCGGCUGUCUGGUCUGUAACUGACGCUGAGGCUCGAAAGUAUGGGUAGCAAACAGGAUUAGAUACCCUGGUAGUCCAUACCGUAAACGAUGAAUGCUAAGUGUUGGAGGGUUUCCGCCCUUCAGUGCUGCAGCUAACGCAUUAAGCAUUCCGCCUGGGGAGUACGGCCGCAAGGCUGAAACUCAAAGGAAUUGACGGGGGCCCGCACAAGCGGUGGAGCAUGUGGUUUAAUUCGAAGCUACGCGAAGAACCUUACCAGGUCUUGACAUACUAUGCAAAUCUAAGAGAUUAGACGUUCCCUUCGGGGACAUGGAUACAGGUGGUGCAUGGUUGUCGUCAGCUCGUGUCGUGAGAUGUUGGGUUAAGUCCCGCAACGAGCGCAACCCUUAUUAUCAGUUGCCAGCAUUAAGUUGGGCACUCUGGUGAGACUGCCGGUGACAAACCGGAGGAAGGUGGGGAUGACGUCAAAUCAUCAUGCCCCUUAUGACCUGGGCUACAGACGUGCUACAAUGGAUGGUACAACGAGUUGCGAACUCGCGAGAGUAAGCUAAUCUCUUAAAGCCAUUCUCAGUUCGGAUUGUAGGCUGCAACUCGCCUACAUGAAGUCGGAAUCGCUAGUAAUCGCGGAUCAGCAUGCCGCGGUGAAUACGUUCCCGGGCCUUGUACACACCGCCCAUCACACCAUGAGAGUUUGUAACACCCAAAGUCGGU